ACUGUCAAAUCAGGUGAGCAAAACCGUCCUCACAACUGGUCAAUUUGCCCGGUGCUUGGCCCUUAAUGAAACCCAUGAUUAUCUGAGGUAAACUAACGUUACUGUAAAAUACUGGGUGACAUUACCUAAUUACCCAUUACGUUGCUUAAAAACAGCCAAAAAUUUAUGCUUGGCAGAAGGUCACUUUGGGAAUAUUGAAGCAAUUUAUAUACUUUUGUUCUCCAGGACAAAGCAACACAAUGCAGUAUUAAGCAAUGAAUAACAAAAGAAAAACGCGUGCCCAAUGCGCAUCUACUAACACGUAUUUUUACACGCGCACACGCAAAAAAUGUGUGUGCAACUUACGCGUGUGAGGUUCGAAUAUAUCUGAGCUGUACUGUAAGUGAACAGUGUACUCAUCGAUGUUUAACUGGUUACUCGUCCAAUCCAAUCCAGACAACAGUUCACCAAUUAAUUUCUUCUAAUUGCUUAGACUGUUGCCGUUUUAUCUGUAUCCAAGCAAGACAGAAGUGCAUGACCACAUACACGUAGACUCCAGCAACUGGACGCCAUCUUGCCUCAUGGCAAAAACUCAUUCCCAGGCUCUUCUGGGCUUUCAACUUGGCUAAGAAAGUGUACUUCAACACUACAAGAGUUCUCUUAGUGCAUUUGCUGCAAAUUCACAUGAAAGAAAUCGCAUUUUCUAUGGGUUGAAAGUCAAACGUUUGAGACAUUCUUUUAUCUUUAAUUCAAGGCAUCUUAAGCUGAGUGUUUUCAUUAUAUUACUCCAAGGAGUACAGUACUCGUCCAGUCGGACGAGUGACUUUUGGGAUCCACUCGUCCGUGGUGAAGAAGUAGUCAUCUCAGACGGGCAGACAUGUGGAAGUUUUUCGCCCUGUUUAGUCAAGCUCCUAGUGUUUAUUCGAGGUGCCUGUGUUUAAUUGAGGCAUCAGCGUUUAAUCGGGUCAAGGCACUGAGUCACACUAAAGUAUACUCUAAGUGAUUUCUCUGGAGUGAAGUUCCCAUAACAUACAGAGAGGAAAUGGCCAACUUCCACAUGAUUUGGCUAUUGAUUGCAUUAAAAGCGAUACUGACCAACCUGGCUUUGAGGAAAGGUUCAUCAGUGAUUACAUUGGUAAAGGUGUAUUUGCAACCAGAGAAUUUAAGAAUGGAGACUUCUUGUUACAAUACAAAGGAGAGCUUA
Long non-coding RNA from Stylophora pistillata, 1183 nucleotides. The record is from RefSeq and is a predicted model, not a curated record. NCBI's taxonomy places the organism in Eukaryota, Metazoa, Cnidaria, Anthozoa, Scleractinia, Pocilloporidae.